Molecule: ribosomal RNA, 279 nt
Filed under: uncultured bacterium
Lineage: Bacteria
Description: partial 16S ribosomal RNA
Rfam family: Bacterial small subunit ribosomal RNA
Source: RNAcentral
UGCCAGCCGCCGCGGUAAUACGGAGGGGGUUAGCGUUGUUCGGAAUUACUGGGCGUAAAGCGCGCGUAGGCGGAUUAGUAAGUUAGGGGUGAAAUCCCGGGGCUCAACCCGGGAACUGCGUUUGAUACUGCAAGACUUGAGGACGGAAGAGGAAAGUGGAAUUCCUAGUGUAGAGGUGAAAUUCGUAGAUAUUAGGAGGAACACCAGAGGCGAAGGCGGCUUUCUGGUCCGUUACUGACGCUGAGGCGCGAAAGCGUGGGGAGCAAACAGGAUUAGAUA